GUAGGGAAUAUUGCGCAAUGGGGGAAACCCCGACGCAGCGACGCCGCGUGAGUGAUGAAGGCCUUCGGGUCGUAAAGCUCUGUUGCAGGGGAAUAAAAAAAUGAAGGUACCCUGUGAGGAAGGAUCGGCUAACUUCGUGCCAGCAGCCGCGGUAAGACGAGGGAUCCUAGCGUUGCUCGGAAUCAUUGGGCGUAAAGAGGGCGUAGGUGGCUUGGUAAGUCAGGUGUGAAAGCCCAGGGCUCAACCCUGGAAGUGCAUUUGAUACUGCUGAGCUUGAGUGUCGGAGAGGUUACCGGAAUACCUGGUGUAGUGGUGAAAUACGUAGAUAUCAGGUGGAACACCGGAGGCGAAGGCGGGUAACUGGACGAACACUGACACUGAGGCCCGAAAGCGUGGGGAUCAAACAGGAUUAGAUACCCUAGUAGUCC
Molecule: ribosomal RNA, 428 nt
Filed under: uncultured bacterium
Lineage: Bacteria
Description: partial 16S ribosomal RNA
Rfam family: Bacterial small subunit ribosomal RNA
Source: RNAcentral